RNAcentral lists this ribosomal RNA (497 nucleotides) under uncultured bacterium. Its description in RNAcentral is "partial 16S ribosomal RNA". It matches the Rfam family "Bacterial small subunit ribosomal RNA", at positions 28 to 507 of the family's 1533-position model. The record is from RNAcentral.
GAUGAACGCUGGCGGCGUGCCUAAUACAUGCAAGUCGAGCGAACGGACGAGAAGCUUGCUUCUCUGAUGUUAGCGGCGGACGGGUGAGUAACACGUGGAUAACCUACCUAUAAGACUGGGAUAACUUCGGGAAACCGUAGCUAAUACCGGAUAAUAUUUUGAACCGCAUGGUUCAAAAGUGAAAGACGGUCUUGCGGUCACUUAUAGAUGGAUCCGCGCUGCAUUAGCUAGUUGGUAAGGUAGCGGCUUACCAAGGCAACGAUGCAUAGCCGACCUGAGAGGGUGAUCGGCCACACUGGAACUGAGACACGGUCCAGACUCCUACGGGAGGCAGCAGUAGGGAAUCUUCCGCAAUGGGCGAAAGCCUGACGGAGCAACGCCGCGUGAGUGAUGAAGGUCUUCGGAUCGUAAAACUCUGUUAUUAGGGAAGAACAUAUGUGUAAGUAACUGUGCACAUCUUGACGGUACCUAAUCAGAAAGCCACGGCUAACUACGUG